ACGCACGCUGGCGGCUUGCUUCACACAUGCAAGUCGCACGGAAAGGCCCUGCUUUUGUGGGGUGCUCGAGUGGCGAACGGGUGAGUAACACGUGAGUAACCUGCCCUUGACUUUGGGAUAACUUCAGGAAACUGGGGCUAAUACCGGAUAGGAGCUCCUGCUGCAUGGUGGGGGUUGGAAAGUUUCGGCGGUUGGGGAUGGACUCGCGGCUUAUCAGCUUGUUGGUGGGGUAGUGGCUUACCAAGGCUUUGACGGGUAGCCGGCCUGAGAGGGUGACCGGCCACAUUGGGACUGAGAUACGGCCCAGACUCCUACGGGAGGCAGCAGUGGGGAAUAUUGCACAAUGGGCGGAAGCCUGAUGCAGCAACGCCGCGUGCGGGAUGACGGCCUUCGGGUUGUAAACCGCUUUCGCCUGUGACGAAGCGUGAGUGACGGUAAUGGGUAAAGAAGCACCGGCUAACUACGUG
This 467-nucleotide ribosomal RNA is filed under the name uncultured bacterium. RNAcentral describes it as "partial 16S ribosomal RNA". It matches the Rfam family "Bacterial small subunit ribosomal RNA", at positions 29 to 507 of the family's 1533-position model. The record is from RNAcentral.